AUGUAGUGAGGAGACGAGCUUGGGUAUUUCGCUUGGGUAGUCUACACCCCAGAGGUAUCAACAUUGACCUCUAAUUUUAGAUAGCCCUUGUCUUGUCCUUCCUCUCCUUCCCAGCUCUCCUUCCAGUCCUACUGUCACUGCCUCUUCCUAUCUCUCCUCCUCCUCCCCUCCCCUCCCCCCUCCCCCCCCCCCCACAUCAGUCUGAAGAAGUGUCUCGACCCAUUUAUGGCAAAAUCCUGGCUCUACUCAUAAAUCUCAGCCAGAGCACCUGCAAUCUCCUCUGUAGCUCCCCAGUGUCUUUGGAUAUAUCUGAUCGGGCCUGAGUGAUUUGUCUUCCUUCAAACGCGUUAGGACCUUCAGCAGCUCCUCGGCUGUAAGACUGACUGUUGUCAGGACACUUUCAUUGACUGCUUCAAGUUCCCAGGUCCUCAUGUCUUUCUCCACAGUAAAAACAGAGGAGAAAUACUCAUUGAAAACCUUGCCCACCCCGUGUGACUCCACAGAUUGGACCACUUUAAUUCCUGUAGGGCCCCCAUUCUCUGUCUAGUUACCCUUUUUCCCUUAGUAAAAUCUCUUAAGAUUAUCCUUAAUAUAAUCUGACCGAGAUAUCUCCUGUCCCCUUUUUGCACCAAUUUGCCUUUUUUAGUGUACUCCUCGGUUUUUUAAAUUCCUCCACGGAUAUACGAUCCCAGCUGCCUAUACCUGCUACAUGCCUCCUUCUUAUUCUUGACGAGAGCUUCAAUUUCUCCUCAUCCACGUUUCCUUGCACCCACCUACCUUGCCCUUUACUCUACCAAGAACAUGCAUAUCCUCGACUCUUGUCAGCACACCUUUGAAAACAUCCAAUUUUCCAGGCCUUCCUUUUCUGCUACUAUCAACUUGAAUGAGUUCCCGUCUAAUACCGUCAAUAAUCCUCAUUGGAAAUCAAGGGAUGUGGAGCUAGUGGAGUAAACUGCCACUAAGGAGAAAGGUCUCCCAUGAUUUAUUGAAUGGCAGAGCAAGCAUGAGAUGCCAAAUAUUUUUAUUUUAUUUUCCUAAUUGCCAGUGACUACUUUAUUUUGCAUCUGCAAUGAAGUGAUGUUUUGUCUAUCAUUAAUUGUUGCUGGAAGUCACAACUUCUAUUGUUUUUUCACCAGUAUUACUAUAUCGGGUGAGUCAUUCCUUUAAGUGCAUUAAUUUUGGUGAGUGUGCAAAUUUUGUAUGGAUUCUUCCUCUUGACAUUGGGUUUAUGAGAAUGAUCCGAGGGAUGAGGGGUUUUAUCAUUGAAACUUACUGAAUAAUGAAAGGCCUAGAUAGAGUGGGAGAGGAUGUUUCUACAAGUGGGAGAGUGAAGGACCAAAGGGCAAGCUCAGCCUUUAGAAAGGGAAUGAGGAGGAAUGUUUUGAGCCAGACAGUGGUGAAUCUGUGGAAGCCAAACAUUUGGGUAUUUUUAAAGCAGAGAUUUAUAGGUUCUUGAUAAGUAAGGGUGUUAAAGGUUAUGGGGAGAUGGCAGAAGAAUGGGGUUGAGAGGGAAAAUUAGAUCAGCCAUGAUUGAAUGGCAAGUAGACUCGAUGGUCUAAAUGGACUAAUUUUGCUCCCAUGUCUUGUGGUCUUUGAAUGAUCUUUGAAAUAAAGGUUUAAGCGUUUUCCAGAAAA
Molecule: long non-coding RNA, 1635 nt
Organism: Amblyraja radiata (thorny skate)
Lineage: Eukaryota; Metazoa; Chordata; Chondrichthyes; Rajiformes; Rajidae
Exons: 2
Source: RefSeq, a predicted model, not a curated record